This 466-nucleotide ribosomal RNA is filed under the name uncultured bacterium. RNAcentral describes it as "bacterial SSU rRNA". It matches the Rfam family "Bacterial small subunit ribosomal RNA", at positions 355 to 825 of the family's 1533-position model. The record is from RNAcentral.
UGAGGAAUAUUGGACAAUGGGCGCAAGCCUGAUCCAGCCAUGCCGCGUGCAGGAUGACGGUCCUAUGGAUUGUAAACUGCUUUUGUACAGGAAGAAACAGUUCUACGUGUAGAACCUUGACGGUACUGUAAGAAUAAGGAUCGGCUAACUCCGUGCCAGCAGCCGCGGUAAUACGGAGGAUCCAAGCGUUAUCCGGAAUCAUUGGGUUUAAAGGUCCGUAGGCGGUUAGAUAAGUCAGUGGUGAAAGCCCAUCGCUCAACGGCGGAACGGCCAUUGAUACUGUCUGACUUGAAUUAUUAGGAAGUAACUAGAAUAUGUAGUGUAGCGGUGAAAUGCUUAGAGAUUACAUGGAAUACCAAUUGCGAAGGCAGGUUACUACUAAUGGAUUGACGCUGAUGGACGAAAGCGUGGGUAGCGAACAGGAUUAGAUACCCCAGUAGUCCCUGAGCGGGCUGGCAAGGCGCAU